This 364-nucleotide ribosomal RNA is filed under the name Escherichia coli. Its description in RNAcentral is "bacterial LSU rRNA". It matches the Rfam family "Bacterial large subunit ribosomal RNA", at positions 1 to 392 of the family's 2925-position model. RNAcentral also lists the same sequence under 1 other name. The record is from RNAcentral. Lineage: Bacteria; Pseudomonadati; Pseudomonadota; Gammaproteobacteria; Enterobacterales; Enterobacteriaceae.
GGGUUGUGAGGUUAAGCGACUAAGCGUACACGGUGGAUGCCCUGGCAGUCAGAGGCGAUGAAGGACGUGCUAAUCUGCGAUAAGCGUCGGUAAGGUGAUAUGAACCGUUAUAACCGGCGAUUUCCGAAUGGGGAAACCCAGUGUGUUUCGACACACUAUCAUUAACUGAAUCCAUAGGUUAAUGAGGCGAACCGGGGGAACUGAAACAUCUAAGUACCCCGAGGAAAAGAAAUCAACCGAGAUUCCCCCAGUAGCGGCGAGCGAACGGGGAGCAGCCCAGAGCCUGAAUCAGUGUGUGUGUUAGUGGAAGCGUCUGGAAAGGCGCGCGAUACAGGGUGACAGCCCCGUACACAAAAAUGCACAU